UCUCCGUAGGUGAACCUGCGGAGGGAUCAUUAAGAAUUGAACAGCAGUGUCUGGCACUGUUGCCCAUUCUAACCCUUUGUGAACUACAACUCUGUUGCUUCGGGGGCGACCCUGCCGACGACUUCGUCGCCGGGCGCCCCCGGAGGUCUUCUAAACACUGCAUCAUUGCGUCGGAGUUAAAGUAAAUUAAACAAAACUUUCAACAACGGAUCUCUUGGUUCCAGCAUCGAUGAAGAACGCAGC
Molecule: unclassified non-coding RNA, 243 nt
Filed under: uncultured fungus
Lineage: Eukaryota; Fungi
Description: sequence contains ITS1, 5.8S rRNA gene
Rfam family: 5.8S ribosomal RNA (bases 195-243)
Source: RNAcentral